Molecule: long non-coding RNA, 2889 nt
Organism: Peromyscus eremicus (cactus mouse)
Lineage: Eukaryota; Metazoa; Chordata; Mammalia; Rodentia; Cricetidae
Exons: 3
Source: RefSeq, a predicted model, not a curated record
GAAGUUUGUAAACACCUCCAAGUCCGUCUCCUGACGCUCUGCCAGGCGUCAGUUCGUUAUUAUUUUUUUACGGACUGGCUUCAUGUUUUCCUUUUGGGGUUUGGUUUGGUUUGGUUUUUGAGACAGGGUCUGGCUCUUGAGCCCAGGCAUGGAACUCACUUGGUAGCCUAGGUUGUCCUCGAACUAUUAGGAAUUCCUGCUUCAGCCUUCCAAGUGCUGGAAUUGUAGCUCCAUCGUGAUACGAACAAGCAGCUCCUUCAGCUCCAGUCCGAGUUACUUCAGCGGCCAGGCCUUCCCUCCCAGGACGCACAGGAGCCUCUCAAGGAGCUGGAACGAGCCUCUCUUGGGUUGUCACAGCGUUUAGAAAAGGAAUUGAGACAACCUGGUAGUACAAACACUGAGGCCCAGUAUCUCACCACCAGCUGACGCCACUGCAGGAUCCGCUGCUGCUUGGCCAGCAGCUCCCGAAGCAUAAGUUGCCGGUGCCCAACCGCGUCCCCCAGUUCCUGGCUCUGGGCAUGAAGAGCUUUGAGCUCUGCCCACAGGCCACUGCACCUAAGUCCCAGCAGCAGCAUUUUCCUGGGGCGUGGUGAGAAAUUGAAAGAAAGCAAGGAGACUGGCAGCCACACUGGGGAGAUGAGAUCUUCAGGGAGGCACGAGGAACCCCAAACACAAGAAACAAGUACCAGGAAGGGGAGGAAAUGAGGGGGGCCCCAGGGUGGACAACAUCCAGUAUCCCCAGCCUCCUGGGAGAGGGCCACUGCUGAGGGGGCCUCUUUACCUCUCACUGGAUCCCAGAGCGUGCCUCUCCACCUCCUCCACUAGGCUCUGGAGGUGGCCAGUCAGGACUUGUCGCUCACCCAGGAGGGCACUCCUCUGGGUAACUAGUGUACCUACAGCCUGCCAGCCUUCCUGGGGGUACAAAGGCUGUGUGGGCAUGGUCCAUGGGCAGAGGCGUUCAGUGGGUCUUAGGAAAGUGUCUCAGGGUUACCUGGAUGAGAUGAACGGAGGAUGGCAGGGCCUGGAUGGAGUUUGAUGGGUCUGGUGCCUGGGGCCUGGGGCGGGGACAGAACAGCUGAGGGAAGAGCCCUUUAUUUUUGUCUCGAUGAGUGUCAUAGUAUCAGUCUUCUCCUCCCCUGCUAUAGGCUGGCAUUCAGUCCCACCCCAAUGGCAGGCUGCUGCCUGCUCCUAGCUAUAACAACCUUCACCGCCCACCUGGACAUCACCUCUUCUUUGAGCCCAUCCCCACCACACUGGGACCAGAGCUCUGUCUCCCGCUCUGCAGCCAGGUACGUCAAGGCAGCCAGGAUGUGGCCGGCAGGGUGGUUUGUCAGCAGUGUCUGGUAGGGACAAGGGGGAAAUCAGGGAGGGAUGGUGGCGCUGGGAUGCAAGCCAGGGCUCCAGGGAGAUGACUUAUGGCUAGACAAUUGGGGGUUGGCAACUGGAAAUUUCCUCAUGGAGCAGGAGGAAGUACCCUUCCCUGAGAGCCCUGCCCUCUUACCUCAACUGAGCUUAGCCACUGCUGAUGGGAACUUCCGAAGUGGUCCUCACGAGGGCUUCUGUGGAUUUGGGUGAGGGGACAAGGAUGUUGUAGGAUACAUCAGUUACCCUCUAUCACCACUACAUGUAAGUAGGAGCUAUCAUUAUCUCCCCUGGACGGAUAAGGAAAUUGAGUCCAUAUGUGCUUAUUAGGCUUGAGUUCCCCCAUUAUCUGAACUUGCUGUCCUGGGAGCCAUUACAAGUUCUGUUAGUUCUUGAUCCUUCACCCUAAUUAAGUCUCCUCACCAGAGCCCCUCCCCUCCCCACCCCCAGCUGGGUAAGGGCCUCCUCUGGGUCCUAGAGCCGCAGACCUCCUACCUCAAACAGCCCUGAUCACCUGGCUGUUGCUGCCCACGGUGGGUCUGCGUCUUCCUCAUCCCACCCUUGGAGCUCACACAGGACAUAACCCAGAAAUCCAGUCUUGAGUAAUUUAUAAACGAGCCAUCUCCUGCCCCUCACGCCCAGGGCCUUCCCAGAGUCCUGGAGCCUGUGAACACUCACGGGAUGCUGCUUCCCCUGGCCUGAGGAAUGAGAAGGUUCUGCAGGAACUGAGUCCGAAGGGAGCAGGCUGUCCGGACAUCACGCUAGGGGGAGGAGGAUGGGGCAUAAGUGGGUUCCAGGCCUCUGCUUGAUCUCUGACUCCUCAUAGCCCCUGCACAGACCAGGACUCUCACCAACACCUCAGGCUCUAGGGCUGGGGCUGCUGACACCAGAGGUCCAAAGGUCACAUCCACUUUGGCUUUCCUGGAAGGAAGAGUGUAACUGGAAAGGGGAUCUAGGGAGCAGAUGUGCCCCUCCCCCUGUGGCCCUCAUGGGCUGUCUCUUGGCUACUGUCAUCUCCGACAUUAGACUCCUCAUCGGUCUACAGCCCACCUCUUCCUGUCCUCUCUGUUCUGACAGUGGUCAGCAACCCUAUUAAAAUCCGGGGAAAGUCAGGCACAGUGGCUCAUGCCUGAGAUUCUAGCCAGUGGUUCUCAACCUUCCUAGUGCUGUGACCUUUUAAUACAGUUCCUCAUGUUGUGCUGACUCCCCCCCCACCAUAAAAUAUUUUGUUGCUACUUCAUAACUGUCAUUUUGCUACUGUUAUGAAUCAAUGUAAAUAUCUGUGUUUUCCAAUUGUCCUAAGAGGUGACCGCCGUGAAAGGGUCUGCCAGCGCAGGGGAGUUGCGACCCACAGGUUGAGAAACACUGGAUUCCAGCACUCAGGCAGUUGAGACAGGAAGAUCACUGAAAGUCUGAAGUCAACCUGGGCUACACGGUGAGCUGCCAGUGGGUGCUGGGAAUUGAACCCAGGUCCUCUGAAAGAGCAAGCAGUGCUCUUAACCGCUGAGACAUCUCUCCAGCUCCUUG